RNAcentral lists this unclassified non-coding RNA (344 nucleotides) under soil metagenome. RNAcentral describes it as "partial contains 5.8S ribosomal RNA, internal transcribed spacer 2, and large subunit ribosomal RNA". The stretch from base 1 to 120 matches the Rfam family "5.8S ribosomal RNA", at positions 35 to 154 of the family's 154-position model. The record is from RNAcentral.
GAUGAAGAACGCAGUGAAAUGCGAUAAGUAAUGUGAAUUGCAGAAUUCAGUGAAUCAUCGAAUCUUUGAACGCACAUUGCGCCCGCCAGUAUUCUGGCGGGCAUGCCUGUCCGAGCGUCAUUUCAACCCUCAAGCCCCCGGGCUUGGUGUUGGAGAUCGGCGAGCCCCCCGGGGCGCGCCGUCUCCCAAAUAUAGUGGCGGUCCCGCUGUAGCUUCCUCUGCGUAGUAGCACACCUCGCACUGGGAAACAGCGUGGCCACGCCGUAAAACCCCCCACUUCUGAAAGGUUGACCUCGGAUCAGGUAGGAAUACCCGCUGAACUUAAGCAUAUCAAUAGCGGAGGA